RNAcentral lists this long non-coding RNA (13518 nucleotides) under Physcomitrium patens. RNAcentral's name for it is "long non-coding RNA (PPAT_LNC012177)". Lineage: Eukaryota; Viridiplantae; Streptophyta; Bryopsida; Funariales; Funariaceae. The record is from RNAcentral.
UCAUGUUCGCACAAUUCUCCGAACUUGUGAACGACUACUACAACAACGGAUUACCGUCCAAUUUGAGCGGGGGACCCAACCCCAGCCUGGAUUACGGCAUGAAAGGGGCAGAGAUCGCCAUGGCCUCGUACUUAUCUGAGAUUAACUACCUAGCCAACCCGGUCACCACCCAUGUCCAAAGCGCGGAGCAACACAACCAAGAUGUGAACUCACUGGGAUUGGUGUCAGCCCGCAAAACGGAGGAAGCCAUGGAGAUUCUCAAGCUCAUGAGCGCCACCUUCUUGGUAGGCUUGUGCCAGGCUGUCGACCUGCGUCAUGUCGAAGAGACCAUGCAGUCGGCCGUGAAGCAAGUAGUGACACAGGUGGCCAAGAAGACGCUCUUCAUGGGCAGCGACGGAUCACUGCUGCCAUCACGCUUCUGCGAAAAGGAACUACUGAUGGUAGUGGAUCGUCAGCCGGUGUUCAGCUACAUCGACGAUUCCACCAGUGAUUCAUACCCUCUAAUGGAGAAACUGCGAGGGGUGCUGGUGAGCCGUGCCUUGAAGAGUGCCGACAAGGAGACCUCCAACGCAGUGUUUAGGCAGAUUCCAGUGUUCGAGGCAGAGCUGAAGCUGCAGCUGAGCCGUGUGGUGCCCGCGGUGCGAGAAGCAUAUGACACAAAGGGACUAUCCUCGGUUCCCAACAGGAUUCAAGACUGUAGGACGUAUCCAUUAUACAAGCUAGUGCGCGGAGACUUGAAGACGCAGCUCCUGUCCGGGCAGAGGACGGUGUCUCCUGGGCAAGAGAUUGAGAAGGUGUUCAAUGCCAUUUCUGCAGGCCAAUUGGUGGCUCCUUUGUUGGAAUGCGUUCAAGGCUGGACAGGCACACCAGGGCCCUUCCCCGCUCGCGCCUCUUGCUAGUUGACACUGCUUCACCUCCCAAUUUUGUCAUCAUUCUUCGAUUCAUCUUCUCGCGUCACAUUGACGUUACAAUUCAUAUUGUACAUGAGUAGGAACUGCGUCACAUUGAAGUUACACUUAAUAUUGUACAUUAGUAGGGACUUGUAGGAGAUUCUUGUGUAAAUGCUUGAAGUUGAGGUUGUGUGGCGCCUUCACCCUUGACCUCUAUUAAGGGCUUAAAGCAUAAAGCGCUGCAAUCCAUGAAGAGUUUUUCAAUUGCAAUGCGUAGUAGUUGUGUAUAUAUUUCCUAACUUUAGAAGUAGAAGAGGAAGAAAGGUUCCAUUGUUUGCAAGCAAAAAUGAAAAAUGAAUAAGAGUUCACUUCAGCAACAACCAAGACAUUUACUUGAGUGGUCAUGGAUUGUUCUAAUUUGUUUAGAUGUCUUUGAAUGUUUAGUGGAGUUUCAAGAGGAUGGAUGUUUAGCGAUUGAUGUGAUGAUCUUCCCUUUAUUUUGUGACUUUGCUUUUGUUCUGUCCAAGCUUCCCUAUUGGUGCGCCAAAUGAUCAUGAAUUUGUUCAGGUAUUGGUUAAUUUGAAUGUUAUCAUUAGCACAAGAUAUAGUUGUUUUCAAAACUUUAAGAUUAGACAAGAUCAUGAAUUUGCUAGAAGAUGAUUUUAACCAUAUAUAUUAUUAACCCAAUGUGCUUUACACCAUGCCCAAAAUUUGGAUAUUAUAUUAUUCCAUGCCCAAGACUUGGAUAUUAUAUUGCACCAUGUCCAAAAUUUGGAUAUUCCAUCACACCAUGCCUAAUAUUUGAAUUUUAUGUUACACCAAGCCCAAAAUGUCUUGAAUACCACACCAUUUAACAUAUUCCAACUACAUUUGAAUUUUGAGAAUUUGGUCAAACCGGUGGAGGAUUAACUUUCUCAAUGACCGACAGACAACAAAUCACAGUUUUCAUGAAUUGUUGGCUGGGGCAUGCUACCAUGAUACCAUGAGUUCAAUGCAACCAACCAAAUAAGAGCCAAUUCCUUGCAGACUCUUCUCAGUUUCCAAUGCUACAGCAAGAGAUUCAAAAGUGACGAGAAACAGCUCAAAGAAACAGUGGGUAGUGUCGAACAAUCGCAGCUGAAUUAGAGGCUGCAAAUAUAAAAGCUCAAACGAACACAUGGUCCGGAGAUUCACCGAUGAAUUACAUUCCUGAAUUUCAGAUCCAUCGGCACAAUGCGCACUAGACACUCCCACUUCAUCUUCUUCCAACCUAAAUUUUCUAAAUAAGACUGUACUUCGCACCUCUGAUUGCAUUGUGACCAUACAUUGCCAAACUCCUGUCUUCCAGAAAUAAAUUGAGUGAACAAUAAGAACGCUAGAGUAGAUGCACUGCCAAUUUAGCACAGCGAGAGAAAUAUACCCACAGGCGCCAGCUCGUUCAGGUUCUGGAUACGAAACAGUGGAACCCUAGAUUUUAGCGUGUGUAAAGAGCUCGCUGAAGCAAGAACGUUAGGUUGAUUAAAUUAAGCGCGAACUCUAGCUCAGGAAGCAAUACCAUUGAAAUUGAAUUGCACACUUUGAAAUUGAAUUGCACACUUCUAUGCUACGCUAUGCAAUGCAAUAAUAUGAUAUGAUACAAAUUGGUGAGGAUGGGGAGUAAAAAGGAGAGGUGGGGUGGAAUCUAAGCGGAGUUGGGAGCGGCGCGGAGCACAAGCACUUCCAGUGUCAGUCCUGGUCCGAAGCCAAUGAAGAAUCCGAACUCGCUGCCCUCGCCCAAAGUGGACGCACCCACCUUCACAGACCUGUGCCGAAUCUGAUCCAACACAAACAGCACAGAGGCGCUAGACAUGUUGCCAAACUCGGACAAUAUGUCCCUGCUCCCUUGCAUCUUGUCCUUCGUCAGCUUCAGCUUCGCCUCCACCUGAUCGAGAAUGGCUGGACCUCCGGGAUGCACCGCCCAGAACAUCUCGUUCCAUGCCGGUGAUCCCACUGGCUUCCUGGCCUCGUUCAAAAACUUCUCGAUGUUCUUGGAGAUGAGCCCGGGUACAUCCUUCAUGAGGUGGAAGAUGAGCCCUGCUUCGGUGAGAUGUCCAUCGAUGGCUCCGUCACUCUCUGGCAAGAUGGUCUCUCCAGCCCAGUGCACUUCGAACAAUGGCUUCUCUACCUCAGGCUUGGGGUCGGAUCCAACCACGUACACGCCGGCGCCAUCGCCGAACAGAGCUGAGCCCACAAGCCCGUCCAAGUGGUUCUCGCUCGGGGCUCGGUAUGUGACUGCGGUCACCUCGCUCGCUACUGCCAGCACUCUGGCGCCCUUGUUGUUUUCGGCUAGAUCCUUGGCCACUCUGAGCACGGAUGCACCGCCGAAACACCCGGUUUGGUACAUCAUGACACGCUUCACAGUGGGCUUCAGGCCGAGCAGCUUGGCCAGGGCGUGGUCGGCUCCGGGCAUGUUGACGCCCGAGGUGGUGGCGAAGACGAUGUGGGUAAUGUCGGACUUGCGGCCGCCCCAUUCCUUGAUGGCCCUCUGGGCGGCCUCGGCGGCGAGCUUGGGGACCUGGACGACCACGAUGUCGUGGCGGACGUUCAGGGAGGGCUCCAUGUACGUGCAGAUGCCUGGGUUGGCCUUGAGCACCUCCUCCGUGAGGAACAUGUGGCGCUUCCUGAUGCCCGACUUGUCACAGAUGCGCUUGAAUUUGGCCUUCAGGGCUUCCUUCUCGCCGCAAUUGGUGAUGUUGAAGAAGAAGUCGGGGUACUCACUCUGCAGGAACUCCGCGGGAGGCACCGCAGUGCCGAUGCCUAGCACGCAGGCCGGCCCUUCAGCGCGGGGCUGGGCCCUGGGAAGCGCGGCCCUCGUAACAUCCCCAGCAGAAGCCAUUGGACAACCCCGGUCGAUUUCCUCGCUCUAGUUCUCAAUCUGUGCUGCCAAACGUAUUCCGACUUUGUCUGUUUGCUAAUCCUGCAACAAGAGAGGUUGUUCUACGCACCGGAUCAGUUAUGCUACCAGUUGGGAUCUGCGGAGACACCCCACUCUCUGAGUUCGCCACGAGCUAGUUUAUUUUCGUAAGUAACUUGAGUACAACGAUCGGAGAGAUUGCCAGAGAAAUGAUAGACGGUGUAGUUGGGUGGCGACUUCCGUUUUGAAGCUCGUAUCGACCCUGCUAUUUCAUGCACAGCGUGUGCCCUUUACGAGCAUCGCGAUGUUGGCACUUUCAUCAGGAACUUUCUGUGGAGUCAUUGCUGUUGAAAGCGGUUGACCUUUUUUCUGCUUUCACCCCACCACUCUGCUACUCCAUGUGUACACAUGCCAUCUAGAGGCGAGUUUUGAAUUUCACAAUUGCACGACAAUUUUUGAAGUUCGCAAUCGAAAUUUGCACAGAACUCAUGGUCUUGACUUGGCCCUUUGAAAUCUUAUAUUUUGGUCAGUUUUGACAUCAGCGAAACGAUCCACUCCAGCAGACCAGCGUGACUGGGAGACUCUGAGAGUCAGGCUGAAGACCACGAAGAAUCGCAGCGCCUUCGUCUUUCCAAACAAGAACACGCGUCCGACUUUCCUCCAAUAGAAACUGGGUCCACCCCAGAGAACCUGCGAAUCACCGACAAGAACAUGAGGGGAAUUGUAGUUUGACCUAGUGUUGAAGUAAACGACAGGCGAACUAAAUUUCACAACCGUGUAUCAUGAACCAAUCUGGAGGACUCUCAACCUUCAUGUGGCACCAGGAGGCUCAUAGGUCCAGGAAGGGCACCACUUUCAACAUUUCAUCGCCACCUCGGACUGUUUUCACCGCAAUAUACCCACCUUUUUGGACUAGGGCCAGCCGCUAGAAUACCUUUCGACGGGGACACCGCGCUCUAGCCAGAGGCAUUAGUUGCAUAAAGAGCAUUCCCCGAAUCUCAUUAAUCUUCACUUCGCCCUGAGGCCCACUCAAGCAGCGAAUGCCGGACAGGGCCUGCAUCCCACCCUUCAGCAAUUGAUUCACCUCCCAUCUCUUGAAAGAUCAGAGAGUGGGGUUGGAGAGAAGGUUGGAUAGAAUUUCUAUGGGCGUUGAUUUUGGGUGAUUUGGAGUUGAUAUGAAUUUGUAAGAGCUUUGCAAAGUUGAGUUAUUUUUCGGAUGACUUGGGUUUUAUGAAAUAAAAUGGGGUUGGCACCACGAGCUGUCGUCGGAUCAGGUGAGCAAAUUGAUGCGGCAUCUUCAGACAUGAUGAUGCUCGAUGAUAACACAUCUCCGUACUGCAUUGGCCUACUCGGUAAUGGAGCAGUUCAUGGUGCGGAUCCUCUCAACUGGGCCAAGACCGCCAAGGCCAUGGAAUGCAGCCACCUCGAAGAAAUCAAGCGGAUGGUCGACACUUACCAAAAUGCCACCCAGGUCAUGAUCGAGGGAGCCACCCUCACUGUACCUCAGGUAGCAGCCAUUGCUCGCAGACCUGACGUGCAUGUCGUGCUCGAUGCUGCCAAUGCCAAGAGUAGAGUGGACGAGAGCUCCAACUGGGUGCUCGACAGGAUCAUGGGCGGAGGUGACAUCUACGGCGUUACCACCGGGUUCGGAGCGACCUCUCAUCGUCGCACGCAGCAAGGAGUGGAGCUCCAGCGCGAACUCAUCCGCUUCCUGAAUGCGGGAGUCCUCAGCAAGGGUAACUCCCUGCCAUCCGAGACUGCCCGAGCGGCGAUGCUAGUGCGUACCAACACGCUGAUGCAGGGCUAUUCUGGCAUCCGCUGGGAGAUCCUCCAAGCUAUGGAGAAGCUACUCAACGCGCACGUCACCCCCAAGUUGCCCUUGCGGGGUACCAUCACGGCAUCCGGCGACCUCGUCCCCUUGUCGUAUAUCGCCGGCCUGCUUACCGGUCGCCCCAAUUCCAAAGCCGUCACCGAGGACGGACGAGAGGUUUCCGCGCUGGAGGCCUUGCGCAUCGCAGGCGUGGAGAAGCCCUUCGAGCUGGCGCCCAAGGAAGGGCUCGCCCUUGUCAACGGCACCGCAGUCGGUUCCGCCCUCGCUUCCACCGUGUGCUACGAUGCCAACAUCAUGGUGUUGCUCGCCGAGGUUCUGUCCGCGCUCUUUUGCGAGGUAAUGCAGGGCAGCCCGAAUUUGCCGACCCCCUGACUCACAAGCUGAAGCACCACCCCGGACAGAUGGAAGCUGCGGCUGUCAUGGAGUGGGUGCUGGACGGGAGUUCCUUCAUGAAGGCUGCCGCCAAGUUCAAUGAGACCGACCCCCUGCGCAAGCCCAAGCAGGACAGAUACGCGCUGCGAACUUCCCCGCAGUGGCUGGGCCCUCAGGUGGAGGUCAUCCGCAACGCCACCCACGCCAUCGAGCGGGAGAUCAACUCUGUGAACGACAAUCCCAUCAUCGACGCUGCCAGGGGCAUCGCCCUGCACGGCGGCAACUUCCAGGGCACGCCCAUCGGCGUGUCUAUGGACAACACGCGCCUGGCGCUGGCCGCCAUCGCUAAGCUCAUGUUCGCACAAUUCUCCGAACUUGUGAACGACUACUACAACAACGGAUUACCGUCCAAUUUGAGCGGGGGACCCAACCCCAGCCUGGAUUACGGCAUGAAAGGGGCAGAGAUCGCCAUGGCCUCGUACUUAUCUGAGAUUAACUACCUAGCCAACCCGGUCACCACCCAUGUCCAAAGCGCGGAGCAACACAACCAAGAUGUGAACUCACUGGGAUUGGUGUCAGCCCGCAAAACGGAGGAAGCCAUGGAGAUUCUCAAGCUCAUGAGCGCCACCUUCUUGGUAGGCUUGUGCCAGGCUGUCGACCUGCGUCAUGUCGAAGAGACCAUGCAGUCGGCCGUGAAGCAAGUAGUGACACAGGUGGCCAAGAAGACGCUCUUCAUGGGCAGCGACGGAUCACUGCUGCCAUCACGCUUCUGCGAAAAGGAACUACUGAUGGUAGUGGAUCGUCAGCCGGUGUUCAGCUACAUCGACGAUUCCACCAGUGAUUCAUACCCUCUAAUGGAGAAACUGCGAGGGGUGCUGGUGAGCCGUGCCUUGAAGAGUGCCGACAAGGAGACCUCCAACGCAGUGUUUAGGCAGAUUCCAGUGUUCGAGGCAGAGCUGAAGCUGCAGCUGAGCCGUGUGGUGCCCGCGGUGCGAGAAGCAUAUGACACAAAGGGACUAUCCUCGGUUCCCAACAGGAUUCAAGACUGUAGGACGUAUCCAUUAUACAAGCUAGUGCGCGGAGACUUGAAGACGCAGCUCCUGUCCGGGCAGAGGACGGUGUCUCCUGGGCAAGAGAUUGAGAAGGUGUUCAAUGCCAUUUCUGCAGGCCAAUUGGUGGCUCCUUUGUUGGAAUGCGUUCAAGGCUGGACAGGCACACCAGGGCCCUUCCCCGCUCGCGCCUCUUGCUAGUUGACACUGCUUCACCUCCCAAUUUUGUUCCGUUCAUCUUCGUGUGGGUCACAUUGACGUUACAAUUAACUAAUAUUGUACAUUAGUAGGAAGUGCGUCACAUUGACGUUACAAUUAACAUUGUACAUUAGUAGGAGAUUCUUGUGUAAAUGCUUGGAGUUGAGGUUGUGUGGUGCCUUCACCCUUGACCACCUCUGUUAACUCACACAGCUUUUAAAUUGCAAUUGCAAUGCGUAGUAGUUGUGUAUAUAUUUCCUAACUUUAGAAGUAGAAGAGGAAGAAAGGUUCCAUUGUUUGCAAGCAAAAAUGAAAAAUGAAUAAGAGUUCACUUCAGCAACAACCAAGACAUUUACUUGAGUGGUCAUGGAUUGUUCUAAUUUGUUUAGAUGUCUUUGAAUGUUUAGUGGAGUUUCAAGAGGAUGGAUGUUUAGCGAUUGAUGUGAUGAUCUUCCCUUUAUUUUGUGACUUUGCUUUUGUUCUGUCCAAGCUUCCCUAUUGGUGCGCCAAAUGAUCAUGAAUUUGUUCAGGUAUUGGUUAAUUUGAAUGUUAUCAUUAGCACAAGAUAUAGUUGUUUUCAAAACUUUAAGAUUAGACAAGAUCAUGAAUUUGCUAGAAGAUGAUUUUAACCAUAUAUAUUAUUAACCCAAUGUGCUUUACACCAUGCCCAAAAUUUGGAUAUUAUAUUAUUCCAUGCCCAAGACUUGGAUAUUAUAUUGCACCAUGUCCAAAAUUUGGAUAUUCCAUCACACCAUGCCUAAUAUUUGAAUUUUAUGUUACACCAAGCCCAAAAUGUCUUGAAUACCACACCAUUUAACAUAUUCCAACUACAUUUGAAUUUUGAGAAUUUGGUCAAACCGGUGGAGGAUUAACUUUCUCAAUGACCGACAGACAACAAAUCACAGUUUUCAUGAAUUGUUGGCUGGGGCAUGCUACCAUGAUACCAUGAGUUCAAUGCAACCAACCAAAUAAGAGCCAAUUCCUUGCAGACUCUUCUCAGUUUCCAAUGCUACAGCAAGAGAUUCAAAAGUGACGAGAAACAGCUCAAAGAAACAGUGGGUAGUGUCGAACAAUCGCAGCUGAAUUAGAGGCUGCAAAUAUAAAAGCUCAAACGAACACAUGGUCCGGAGAUUCACCGAUGAAUUACAUUCCUGAAUUUCAGAUCCAUCGGCACAAUGCGCACUAGACACUCCCACUUCAUCUUCUUCCAACCUAAAUUUUCUAAAUAAGACUGUACUUCGCACCUCUGAUUGCAUUGUGACCAUACAUUGCCAAACUCCUGUCUUCCAGAAAUAAAUUGAGUGAACAAUAAGAACGCUAGAGUAGAUGCACUGCCAAUUUAGCACAGCGAGAGAAAUAUACCCACAGGCGCCAGCUCGUUCAGGUUCUGGAUACGAAACAGUGGAACCCUAGAUUUUAGCGUGUGUAAAGAGCUCGCUGAAGCAAGAACGUUAGGUUGAUUCGAUAACCUGAUUUCGCUUUUAAAAUUAAGCGCGAACUCUAGCUCAGGAAGGAAUACUAUUGAAAUUGAAUUGCACACUUCUAUGCUACGCUAUGCAAUGCAAUAAUAUGAUAUGAUACAAAUUGGUGAGGAUGGGGAGUAAAAAGGAGAGGUGGGGUGGAAUCUAAGCGGAGUUGGGAGCGGCGCGGAGCACAAGCACUUCCAGUGUCAGUCCUGGUCCGAAGCCAAUGAAGAAUCCGAACUCGCUGCCCUCGCCCAAAGUGGACGCACCCACCUUCACAGACCUGUGCCGAAUCUGAUCCAACACAAACAGCACAGAGGCGCUAGACAUGUUGCCAAAGUCAAAGUUUUGGAAAUCUCUUUUUGAGAUAUUGAAGGUGGAUAUCAAGCUUUCUUCGGCAUUUCAUCCUCAAACGGACGGCCAAACAGAACGGGUGAAUCAAGUUUUAGAGCAAUAUUUACGUUGCACCAUCAACUAUCAACAAGAUGAUUGGGCCGCAUAUCUACCGCUAGCCGAGUUCGCAUAUAACAACACCCUUCAUGCGUCAACUCAACAAACGCCAUUCUUUUCCAAUUAUGGAUACCAUCCAAAGCUUGACUUAUGGAGUUCGUCAACGAUUAACAAUCCGGCAGCUGAAGGAUUGGUGAAGGAGCUUUCGCAACUUCAAACUACAUUGAAGCUUCAAUUGUAAACUGCCCAAGAAUCUUACAAGGCGUCCGUGGACAAAUUUCAGAAUCAGGCACCUAAAUUCACGAUUGGAGACAAAGUUUGGCUGCUUCGACGAAAUAUUAAGACCAAGCGGCCAUGUGAGAAAUUGGACUAUCGGAGAUUGGGACCAUUUGUUAUCCAGAAGCAGAUCAAUCCUGUAGCGUAUCGUCUGGAGUUACCAGCUACUAUGAAGGUACAUCCUGUCUUUCAUGUUUCUUUGUUGGAGCCUUAUCGAAAAUCGUCUUUUCCUGGAAGAGUAUAAUGUCCACCACCUAGCAUAGAAAUAGAGAACCACAAAGAAUACGAGGUGGAAAAGGUCCUGGAUUCACGACAAAGACGGGGUAAAUUAGAAUACUUUGUGCAUUGGAGCGGUUACGAUAUUAAUGAACGAAUAUGGGAGCCGACCAAAAAUCUCGCGAAUGCGCCGCAAAAGGUACAGGAGUUUCAUCGACGAUAUCCUGAGAAACCCAAGCCGGUUCGACGAUAGCUUCUUACUGAAGCUUGCUCAUCCAGAAAACAGAAAAGAAGAGAGAGCACCACCAAAAUCCAUAGUUGAUGUAGUCAUUCUCUCCAAGAUAGCGUAGAACUUUGUUAGUAGCCCAAGUUUGUUCUUAUUGUUUUAGCCUUUGAAUAUGGAUAGCUAAGAUACUACACUUGUCAUGUCAUCUCAAGCAACUAGCUCACGAAGACGACCGCGAGAUGAAGAAUCGCCUGCACCACGACGACGUCGAAGGAUUCUGAGCAACAAAUCGCUGGUGAUUGUAUUUGAGGUCGAGCCUGCCUACAAUGGUCAGCUAGAAGGAGUGUUUGUAGGACAAUUUCACAAUGAAGACACGGAGGUUCAAACUGGGUCAGAAGUUGAAGGCGUGGGCCACUACCGUUGGCUUCAAGGACCAUUGAAUCACUUGCCUCGUGAACAACAAUUGGAGUUCAUAGCAGAGGUUAUGCGACAGAUCUUCAUUUUCUUGCGUUGGUAUUGACUGACGAUAACAUUGCUUCUCGGAGACCUCGAAGCUAAAGGAGGAGGUGAUGUUAGGGACAUAGUCCUUAGACCUUUUUAGAGACAAGUUUCUAGAACCUUCUAGAAAGAAGUCUCUAGAAACUUCCAGAAGAUUCUUUGAAUAUUUUCUUAGAAUAUUCUUUAAAGAUUUCCUAAAGAUUCUAUGAAGAUUCCCUAAAGAUUCCCUUAGAAGGCUCUAGAAGAUUCUUAGAAUAUUCUAGUAGAUUCUAGGAAGUUACUUGAGAAGCUUCAUAGCUCUUGGGUAGUUGCUCGAGAAGCUUCAUAGUUCUUGGGAAGCUUCUUGAUGCGCUUCCUUAGAACCAUAGGCCAGUAGUAUAUAUAGGAGUCGAGGCUGAAGAGUUCUUCAGUCUCGACAACACAUCUCUUGAAGCUCUAGCUCAAUCCUCUUGGCGUUGCUCUUGUACUCAUCUGAUAAUCUAGUUCUUGUCAUUUCUUCUUGAACUUCUUGUUUAGAUUUCUUGUUUGUAUUUUUGGUCCGUGACAUAAAGAACAUUCUACAUCAACAUAUUGAAGAAUCGUUGGCGCAUGUCGGAGGAUGCACAGAUUCAGGGAGGAUAGAUGUCAUGAUAUAACACGAUUAAUAGAUGAAAGAGUGUGGAGAUUAUUAUAAUUUAAGAGAUCUUAGUUCAAAGUAUUAGAACAAAUUAUCUUAGAAAUAUAGUUAAUAGCCAAAGGGAUAGAAAAAUUAAAAGGUAUCAAUGCUGCCUUUUAGAAAGGUGAUUUCUACUUACUUUGUAGUACCAUAAGUAAGGCAAAUCAAAGUAGAUUGAGAAAAUAAAUCAUAUAGGAAUCUUUAGAAGAAAGUUAAGAGUAAAUUCUAGAAAAAAAUUACUUAGAAAAACUAGAUAUUGAUACCCGGAGAGACCCGGUUAUGAACCAGGGUGGAAAUCAGACCUUGAGGCACAAAACCGAGUCUUGACGACGACUCCGGGACUCUUUGGCAGAUCAGAGAGUGGGGUUGGAGAGAAGGUUGGAUAGAAUUUCUAUGGGCGUUGAUUUUGGGUGAUUUGGAGUUGAUAUGAAUUUGUAAGAGCUUUGCAAAGUUGAGUUAUUUUUCGGAUGACUUGGGUUUUAUGAAAUAAAAUGGGGUUUAUGUUUUGAGUGAUUUCGAGAGUUUUGUUGCAGAUCUAUAGGUGAAUUUUUUUGAUGAAUACAUGUUGUGAAUUUGAGCACAUCUCCGUACUGCAUUGGCCUACUCGGUAAUGGAGCAGUUCAUGGUGCGGAUCCUCUCAACUGGGCCAAGACCGCCAAGGCCAUGGAAUGCAGCCACCUCGAAGAAAUCAAGCGGAUGGUCGACACUUACCAAAAUGCCACCCAGGUCAUGAUCGAGGGAGCCACCCUCACUGUACCUCAGGUAGCAGCCAUUGCUCGCAGACCUGACGUGCAUGUCGUGCUCGAUGCUGCCAAUGCCAAGAGUAGAGUGGACGAGAGCUCCAACUGGGUGCUCGACAGGAUCAUGGGCGGAGGUGACAUCUACGGCGUUACCACCGGGUUCGGAGCGACCUCUCAUCGUCGCACGCAGCAAGGAGUGGAGCUCCAGCGCGAACUCAUCCGCUUCCUGAAUGCGGGAGUCCUCAGCAAGGGUAACUCCCUGCCAUCCGAGACUGCCCGAGCGGCGAUGCUAGUGCGUACCAACACGCUGAUGCAGGGCUAUUCUGGCAUCCGCUGGGAGAUCCUCCAAGCUAUGGAGAAGCUACUCAACGCGCACGUCACCCCCAAGUUGCCCUUGCGGGGUACCAUCACGGCAUCCGGCGACCUCGUCCCCUUGUCGUAUAUCGCCGGCCUGCUUACCGGUCGCCCCAAUUCCAAAGCCGUCACCGAGGACGGACGAGAGGUUUCCGCGCUGGAGGCCUUGCGCAUCGCAGGCGUGGAGAAGCCCUUCGAGCUGGCGCCCAAGGAAGGGCUCGCCCUUGUCAACGGCACCGCAGUCGGUUCCGCCCUCGCUUCCACCGUGUGCUACGAUGCCAACAUCAUGGUGUUGCUCGCCGAGGUUCUGUCCGCGCUCUUUUGCGAGGUAAUGCAGGGCAAGCCCGAAUUUGCCGACCCCCUGACUCACAAGCUGAAGCACCACCCCGGACAGAUGGAAGCUGCGGCUGUCAUGGAGUGGGUGCUGGACGGGAGUUCCUUCAUGAAGGCUGCCGCCAAGUUCAAUGAGACCGACCCCCUGCGCAAGCCCAAGCAGGACAGAUACGCGCUGCGAACUUCCCCGCAGUGGCUGGGCCCUCAGGUGGAGGUCAUCCGCAACGCCACCCACGCCAUCGAGCGGGAGAUCAACUCUGUGAACGACAAUCCCAUCAUCGACGCUGCCAGGGGCAUCGCCCUGCACGGCGGCAACUUCCAGGGCACGCCCAUCGGCGUGUCUAUGGACAACACGCGCCUGGCGCUGGCCGCCAUCGCUAAGCUCAUGUUCGCACAAUUCUCCGAACUUGUGAACGACUACUACAACAACGGAUUACCGUCCAAUUUGAGCGGGGGACCCAACCCCAGCCUGGAUUACGGCAUGAAAGGGGCAGAGAUCGCCAUGGCCUCGUACUUAUCUGAGAUUAACUACCUAGCCAACCCGGUCACCACCCAUGUCCAAAGCGCGGAGCAACACAACCAAGAUGUGAACUCACUGGGAUUGGUGUCAGCCCGCAAAACGGAGGAAGCCAUGGAGAUUCUCAAGCUCAUGAGCGCCACCUUCUUGGUAGGCUUGUGCCAGGCUGUCGACCUGCGUCAUGUCGAAGAGACCAUGCAGUCGGCCGUGAAGCAAGUAGUGACACAGGUGGCCAAGAAGACGCUCUUCAUGGGCAGCGACGGAUCACUGCUGCCAUCACGCUUCUGCGAAAAGGAACUACUGAUGGUAGUGGAUCGUCAGCCGGUGUUCAGCUACAUCGACGAUUCCACCAGUGAUUCAUACCCUCUAAUGGAGAAACUGCGAGGGGUGCUGGUGAGCCGUGCCUUGAAGAGUGCCGACAAGGAGACCUCCAACGCAGUGUUUAGGCAGAUUCCAGUGUUUGAGGCAGAGCUGAAGCUGCAGCUGAGCCGUGUGGUGCCCGCGGUGCGAGAAGCAUAUGACACAAAGGGACUAUCCUCGGUUCCCAACAGGAUUCAAGACUGUAGGACGUAUCCAUU